UACGUAGGGGGCUAGCGUUGUCCGGAAUCAUUGGGCGUAAAGCGCGCGUAGGCGGCCCGGUAAGUCCGCUGUAAAAGUCCAGGGCUCAACCCUGGAAAGCCGGUGGAUACUGUCGGGCUAGAGUCCGGAAGAGGCGAGUGGAAUUCCUGGUGUAGCGGUGGAAUGCGCAGAUAUCUGAAAGAACACCAGUGGCGAAGGCGGUCAGCUGGUCCGUUACUGACACUAAAGCACGAAAGCGUGGGUAGCAAACAGG
RNAcentral lists this ribosomal RNA (253 nucleotides) under uncultured bacterium. RNAcentral's name for it is "partial 16S ribosomal RNA". It matches the Rfam family "Bacterial small subunit ribosomal RNA", at positions 524 to 776 of the family's 1533-position model. The record is from RNAcentral.